Molecule: long non-coding RNA, 776 nt
Organism: Tarenaya hassleriana
Lineage: Eukaryota; Viridiplantae; Streptophyta; Magnoliopsida; Brassicales; Cleomaceae
Exons: 2
Source: RefSeq, a predicted model, not a curated record
CAUUGCUUUUCUCAAAUACGUAGUACGUCGUCGUUUUGAUGGUCGUCUUCUUCCCAAAAGCCCAGCGUAGUUCCCGAGAAACCCCGAUUCUCCUCCUCCUCCGUGUUUUGUCGGGAUGCGAACACCAUGCACUACCGGUUGCAGGGCUUGAUAGGAUAGGCGCUCCUUGCAGAGACGGUGACGCCUUGGUUACACUGAACAAGCUACUGAUUUCACCGGACGGUAAUCGUGUAUCCGUCACUCACCGACCUCGUGAGGCAUCAGACCGUGACGUCGGCUAUAACAAUCGUGGUUCCGAUGCGGCGGUCGCCGGGUUUCAGGCGAGAGGUCAUCGCCUUCGAGUUGCUUAUCAGGGCACUUUUCUGAUUGCGAUGUUCUGUCACGAGUGUUAAUGGUGAUGUUCUGUAGGCUAGGCUGUCGAGGCUGCAUUAUACGAGGAUCAUCAGCCCGUGUCUGAACGAAGACACCAUCUUCAAAAGAUGUGUUUUUGCUGUUGGCCCGGCCGAUGUCAGCACACGGGAGUUCGAGUAAACAAAACUACAGAAAUAUGCUUCCUUUGCUGAGAGAUCCUGCGGAAGGGGAUCACCAGAUUCCCACCAUGGAUCUUUCAGAGAUGUGUUCUUGCAACGAGUACAUGCUUCGGGAUUUAUGUUCCGGACAUCAUUCAUAGGUCUUUCUCCCCUUUACUGUACAUCCAACACCUUUGUGUCUGAAACUUUCAUACUUUGUAAUCAAAUCUCAAAUUCUCGAGGUGCAAAAGCAGUAAUAAUCUUUUA